Long non-coding RNA from Mercenaria mercenaria, 4513 nucleotides. RefSeq lists it as uncharacterized. The transcript has 3 exons. The record is from RefSeq and is a predicted model, not a curated record. Lineage: Eukaryota; Metazoa; Mollusca; Bivalvia; Venerida; Veneridae.
AUCUACAUUUGGUACUAUUUUUAUUACGUUACCAAUCCCAAGUUUCCUGUAUACCUCUCAUUAUUAGAAAAAACCUUGCUAGGUACAUCAGGAGAAUCCGAUGGUUUGACCUAUUUGUUCGGGCAGGUGCCUGGCAUAUGUUUGAACCUGCAGCAGGUCAGUCUGUGCUUUACCCCCAAGUGAUUAUUUAACCAUAACCCUGCUAAAUUUCUAUAAUGAACUUGUCCAUCUUUCAAUUUGGACAGUACCAUUAACUGUAAUUAAAAGGGGCGCUUUAUACUAAAAAGAUACUGGCUGAAUAGCGAAUAGUACAGAUCAUGAUCAGACUGCACGGAUGUGCAGACUGAUCAUGAUCUGCACUAGUCGCAAAGGCAGAAUCAAUCGUGUCUAGCAUGAUAAGGGUUAAGGAUUUUGUGCUAUAUGUAGCCCAGAUAUAUAUGCGUAAAACAAUUAAUGGUCUAGAAUAGCCCAUUGGGAAAUUUUAAUCGAGGCAUCGCUUUUCGAUAAGGUCUGGUAACAAUGGGGCUUCCUUUGAUCACAUUUCGUGGCAGCCAUAGGUUCUUAGUCUGGAUCCCGGCUAACCAUACUUGCUUAACAUAAUGUGCACUCACUGCAAAUGCAGAUCGAUGUAUUGAUUCAUCGCGUAAUUGUUAAGUUCUUCGUUACAAUUUGUCUAGUGACAUGUCGUCUAAGGGCGUCUGUAAUCCAUCCGUGAUUCAUGUUUUGUAAAGAGAUUUUCAUGAACCUGCUAAUUGUCCACAACAGCAUGAUGAAGCUAGUGUUAAAAUGGUAAAACCUUAAUUGAACUUUUGCGUUGGCAGCUAUUCUAAUAAAACAUAACAGAGUUGUUAUGAUCGCAAAGAAUAAUUGGGUUCGAACACUUGUUAGAGGAUGCUGAGUUAGAAAAUGGCUGGUUGGUCAAACAAAGGUCCCACUCGUGCUAGAAAAGCUUGUACUUAAUCUAACAGUAUGAAACCCUUGGUUGACCUAUCAGGCGAAGCUAUGCAUUUAUUCUAUUAAGCGCUAGGAAUUCUCUUAAUUAUUUGAAUCAUUGCUACCACUUUCGACUGCCUAGGUGACUUAUUGUUAACAGUAUUACUGCAGUAGUAAAUACUUCCCUCCUUGUACGGUAUCUACGAAACAAACGAAAUUGUUUCUUCACUGCGUCACUAAAAUUGUAAACAUGUGUCACAGUGGACAGACAAUGCCGUGAUUAAUUUCUAUUCCGUAGUGAUAAAGUUAGAUCUUAUAAUUUUUAUGUCCGGCGUGUGCUCAUGUCUUGUCCAUUUAUUGUAAUUCAGAUUCACCAUACACCUGACAUACCCUCUAAAGAGCUGCGUUAGAGCUUUGGUCAAUUUUACAUUUGUAUAAAAAAUGUUCAGUCACUACUGACCAAAUUACUGUACAGGUAAGAGGAGACUGAAAGGUGUCGGCUAUGGAACAAUAUUAAGGCAAAAAUUGCAUAUUGCCUUCUUGCGUACACGUGUCUCUGUCUGACAAGCUGACUGCUUGAUUUUGACAUUCGGAAUCCCAUCUUGCAUUCUUACAUGUACAUGCCUUUAUUUGAUAUUCAGUUUGAUUUGAUUUUGCCUGCUUCAUAUAUUCGUCUCGCUUUCGGACAUGCUGUAAUCUGAUAUACUACUUCAUCAUACUGACUAGUGGUUCCGUACAUCUUGCCUUCUCGGACCGUCAAUGGUGUAUACUAACAUCUAGCUAUCGGACAUGCUGUAAUCUGACAUACUACUUCAUCAUACUCAAAUAGUGGUUACUUACAUCGUGCCUUCUUGGAACGUCAAUGGUGUAUACUUCUUAGUGAAAACAACUUAAGAAGUUUCUUAACUAUGUGAUUGCAAGGAGCUGGGUUAUGAAAUAAUUUCAGUGCAUUCUUAAAUUCUUGUUCAGGUGGAGAUAACCCUUUGUACGGAAACACACGAACUGUACCGAGAGUGUUAAGACUACACGUCCGGUAACCGCACUAAACACCAUAUAUUCCUAUUUGAAUCCAAGUAAAAUGAGUAUAUUUUUCGAGACUCUACCUUUAAUCGGAUAUAUAAAUAGCGCGCUAUAAAUAGCAUACAGAACAGAAUUAUGUCAUCACCUGAGUACUAGUCGAAAUAAUUACACGUUCAUACAUGUAUUGUUUUAUAUUUGUGACGCUGACGGGCAAUCUAAUUGGGUAUAUUGCCUAUAUGAAAAAAUAUCACAAUAUUUCCCGGGAUCGCGUCAAAUUAGUUGGACUACUGUUGCUUAUUCAAAGGAGACAUAAUAUCUAACAUUUUGAGAAAUAGCGCUGUGGUCAGCAUUUGUCUCACGUGAACUGUGGAGACAUUUGGAUACUGUACCUAAAUGUUCAUCACAAAGUGCUGGUGUUUUGAUAUCUACAAGAGCAGACGGCAACAGAAUUGGAGAUUACCCAAAUCUAAAGAUGUUGAGGAGUACAAGAAACAACAAAAAAGCUAUGAAAAACAAAUGAAAUAAAAACAACGUGAAAUUAUAUUGAAUCAUGGCCCUGGGUUCCAAACCGUUCGACAACAACGAAAAAAAAAACUUUUUUUUUAGCUCACCAUAGCACAGACUGCUUAAGGUGAGCUAUUGUGAGUGACCGGCGUCCGUCGGCGUGCGUCUUGCGUAAACAUUUGCCUUGUGAACACUCUAGAGGCCACAUUUAUGACCCAAUCUUUAUGAAACUUGGUCAGAAUGUUAGUCAUGAUGAUCUCUAGGUCAAGUUUGAAAGUGGGUUAUGUGGGGUCAAAAACUAUGUCAGUAGGUUAGAUCAAAGAAAAUGCCUGUGAACACUCUAGAGACCACAUUUUUGACCCAAUCUUUAUGAAAAUUUGUCAGAAUGUUAGAAUGUUAGUCUUGAUAAUCUCUAGGUCAAGUUUGAAAUUGGGUCAUGUGGAGUUAAAACCUAGGUCAGUAGGUUAGAUCAAAUAAAACGCUUGUUAACACUCUAGAGACCACAUUUUUAACCCAAUCUUUAUAAAACUUGGUCAGAAUGUUAGUCUUGAUGAUCUCUAGGUCAAGUUUGAAACUGGAUCAUGUGGGAUCAAAAACUAGAUCACCAGGUCAGAUCAAAGGAAAAGCAACAUUUGUGUACCAAUGUUUUUGAAACUUGGCCAGAAUGUUAGCCUUGAUUAUCUUUAGGUCAAGAUUGAAUCUGGGUCAUGUUAGAUCAAAAAAUAGGUCAGUACGUUAGAUCAAUGGAAAGCCUUGUGAACACUCUAGAGACCAUAUUUAUGACCCAAUCUUUAUGAAACUUUGUUAGAAUGUUAGUCUUGAUGAUCUCUAGGUCAAUUUCGAAACUGUGUCAUGUUGGAUCAUAAACUAGGUCACCUGGUCAGAUCAAAUGAAAAGCUUGUAAACACUCUUAAAGGCCACAGUUGUGUACCAAUAUUUAUGAAACAUAGUCAGAAAGUUUGACUUGAUGAUUUCUAGGUCAAAUUUGAAUCUAGGUCAUGUGGGGUCAAAAACUAUAAACGACAGUGUCUACUUGCAGUAGGGAGCACAAUGCCUAACUUUAUAGUGCUGCCUCACCCCACCCAGUCACAUUAUACUGACACCGGGCUGACCAGUCCCAUCAUUAUCCUCUUAAUGCUGAACGUCAAGCAAAGAAGCUUCUAGUACCAUUUUUACGUCUUUGGUAUGACGCGGCCGGGGAUUGAACCCACGACCUCCCGCACUCAAAGCGGACGCUCUACCACUAGGCUACCGAGGCGGUAGGCCACAGUUGUAACUCAAUCUUUAUGAAACUGGGUCGAAUGUUUGUCUUAAUCAUUUCUAGGUCAAGGUCGAAUCUGGGUCAUGUGGGGUCAAAAACUAGGUCACCCAGUUAAAUCAAAGGAAAAGCUUGUGAAAUCUCUAGAGGCCACAGUUGUAACCAAAUCUUAAUGAAAUUUAAUCAAUAUGUUUGUGACGAUCUUUAGGUCAAGUUCAACUCUUAUCAUGUGGGGUCAAAAAAAAAUAGGUCAGUAGGCCAGAUAAACUCUUUUGAGCGAUAUAUAGGGCCAUGGCCCUCUUGUUUUUGCUAGAUAUCUGGAAAUUAAUGCUAUGUUUCUGAAGAAUGCUUUGAAACUUAAUUCUGACAGAUUAUCAUGAAAACAUGUGAGAAAUAGUUGUUUUUACUGAUUUUACGAUGAAAAUCGAAACGCGUUUGUUACGCUUUACUCGAGGCAAAGAAAAGUAUUUAUGGAGGUCAGUGCCUUCAAUUUUAUAAAAGACAAUUCAACACACAUUUCUGUCGAGAUCUAACUUUACGUGAUGGACCUUUUUAUCUCGGACAAAGUAUAUGAUACGCGAAAACGGUUCUGCAAAGUUGCUUAAAUGAGCAUGCAUAUCUUUAACAGUGCAAAUAAAAGAUAGAUUUUAAGAAGUUAUUCAUUUGUAUCAUACUGUAUAAUAAUAGAUUUAUGCUAUGUCAUUUUCAAAGAGAAUUUAUAUGUGUUUCCUUUUAUUUGUUAACUAUCUGUUUGUGUUGGCGUAAUAAACAAUUAUGAAUAUAAAAAUAUAAAGAUGA